This 251-nucleotide ribosomal RNA is filed under the name uncultured prokaryote. RNAcentral's name for it is "partial 16S ribosomal RNA". It matches the Rfam family "Bacterial small subunit ribosomal RNA", at positions 525 to 775 of the family's 1533-position model. The record is from RNAcentral.
ACGUAGGGUCCGAGCGUUGUCCGGAAUUACUGGGCGUAAAGCGCGCGCAGGCUGUCUGGUCAGUCGAUGGUGAAAGCCCCACGCUCAACGUGGGAAGGUCCGUCGAGACGGCCAGACUGGAGGCAGGGAGAGGUCGGUGGAAUUCCGGGUGUAGUGGUGAAAUGCGUAGAGAUCCGGAGGAACACCGAUGGCGAAGGCAGCCCCCUGGGCCGAUACUGACGCUCAUGCACGAAAGCGUGGGGAGCAAACAG